CUUUUAUUCCUUUUUAUUUGCUUUGUAAUAAUUUGUAAUCACAUUAUUCACUUUUGCUUUUUAUUAUCUUUACGCAGUUUUAUCCAGCUUUAUUUGCUUUUCUAUUCAUCUUUUUCUUCAGAUUUAUUUGCUUUUUAGUCUCUUAUUUUUAAAUAACUUUUUUUUUUUUUUUAAAUGCCCCAUAGCGACCCAGAGAAACUCAUAGAGCCCCACAGCCCCUGUAGACAUCUCAUAGAGCUGCACAGCGACCACUAGAGACUCAUAGAGACCCCAUAGCGAUCACAUAAUGAUCACAUUGCGGUGGGUCUGGGCUGGGUGUGAGGCCAAGGUGGGGUUAAUAAAGGCCUGGGGGCGUGGUCUGGGCUGUGGGAGGGCUCUGGGAGGGGUGGGGUUAAUAAAGGCCUGGGGGUGUGGUCUGUGCUGUGGGAGGGCUGUGGGAGGGGCGGGGUUAAUGGAGGUCUGGGGGUGUGGUCUGUGCUGUGGGAGGGGCUAAUGUAGGAGGGUGGGUGUGGUCUAGGCUCAGGGGGGUGGGUACCCCUCCCAGAGCCCUUCCACAGCACAGACCACGUCCCUUCCAGAGCCCUUCCACAGCACAGACCAUGCCCCCAGGCCUUUAUUAACCCUGCCUUGGCCUCACACCUAGCCAAGACCCACCAUAAUGUCAUUAAAAAGGGAAUAAAAAGUGAAUCAGCCUGACUGCAACUUGAAAAGUGAACAAAAAUUGACUAAAAACCAAAUAAAAAGUGAAUUAAACCGAAGAAAUUCAACGAAAAGUGAAAACAAGCAAUUAUAAAUUAUGAAAAAGUGAAUAAAAAUGAAUGAAAGAGACUAAAAAAUUCACGGGUGUUGGGGCACUUACGGGCCACGGGGGGUAGGGGGUUCCCUAUCGGGUGCUAUGUAUACAGAUUCUGCUGCUGUUACUGCAAUGCCAGUGGUCAAUAAAAGCUGUGGGGUGUGAGUUGUGGGUCUAUAGGAUGCUAUGGGGCAGUGGAGGGUGUCUAUGGGGUGAUAUGGGUUGCCAUGGGGCAGUGUGUGGGUCACUCUGUGGUCUCUGUGGGUAGUUAUGGGGAUCUAUGGGUCACUAUGGGGUCUAUAUGGGUCCAAUGGUUGCUGUCGGGUGUCUGUGGGUCACUGUAUGGCUCUAUGCGAUGCCUGUAGGGUGUACAGGGCUUUAUGGAGUGUCCAGGAGAAUGCUGGAGGUUCACUGCUGAGCUGCACGUACCAUGGUGCUGCCGCUGUGGCGUGGGGAGCUGGUGCACGUCUUCGAUGCACAGAGGUUUCGGCAGGGUAAGGGUUAAUCUCUCCUCAUCCUGAUCCAUGGGCUCUUCUUCAUCAUCCUCCUCACCAUCUCCAUCCCCACAGAGGUGCAGCAGC
RNAcentral lists this long non-coding RNA (1374 nucleotides) under Strigops habroptila (Kakapo). Its description in RNAcentral is "lncRNA (ENSSHBG00005007320.1)". Lineage: Eukaryota; Metazoa; Chordata; Aves; Psittaciformes; Psittacidae. The record is from RNAcentral.